This is a long non-coding RNA of Vitis riparia (riverbank grape), 2659 nucleotides long. RefSeq lists it as uncharacterized. The record is from RefSeq and is a predicted model, not a curated record. NCBI's taxonomy places the organism in Eukaryota, Viridiplantae, Streptophyta, Magnoliopsida, Vitales, Vitaceae. The transcript has 4 exons.
ACCAUCAAACUCACCACCAUCUAUCAUGGGUGAGCCGUUUAACCCGUUCAAUCCUCCAGCAAGUCCCCUUAGAUCCCCCAGGUUAGCCUUUGGGGGCACAUUUCCAGCCAAGGUGUUUGUGUUUCCUGAAACAUCAGCGGCAGAUUUAGAUCAUGUGUCUUGCUUAAUGUAUCAACUCUCUCUGGCUUUCUGGUUUUGUUAGAGGUUCUGAAGUUGAACUAGUACCUGUAAUGGAGCCAACAAUGAUGAGCCGCUUUGAUGGGUAAUCUGAUUGCUUCAGGUCACCAAGCAGCAAUCUUGAGAGAAGGAAGUGUCCAAGAUGGUUAGUUCCAACACUAAGUUCAAACCCUUCAGCAGUGAAUGUUGGCUCCUUAGCAGUGGGCAAGUAGACAGCAGCAUUACAAACCAGGACAUCAAGUGGCCUACCCGAACGUCGAAAAUUGUCUGCAAAUUGUCGGACACUUUCAAGAGAGGCAAGAUCAAGAUGCAUAACAGUGUAGUUUUCCUUAGCAAUGCCUGCUGAUUUAGCAGCCCUAUCAGCCUUUAGGAAAUUCCUGCAUGCCAUAAUAAUGUGCCAUUUCUCUGUUUCAGCUAGAGCCUUGGCUGUGGCUAAACCCAACCCAGAGGAAGCUCCUGUGAUAAUUACAUUGCCCUUUCUCAAAGUUUUCUUCCCUUCUGGUGAGGCCUGGCUGAUUGCUGGAGUUGUAGCUGUUUGGGCUCUAAUAACUCCAACAGGUAGUUUCCUUCUUUUGAGUUCCUGCAAUGAAGCUCAUUGAUAAGAUGGGAAUGCCAAGGGACAAAAAGGAAAAAAGGACAAAAAAAAGAAAAAAAAAAAAAAAAAAGAAACUAGUUUGUUCCAAUGAACAAGAUAAAAAAAGUUGGGAUUAUCACCCAAAUAAAUUUGUAGGCUAUGGGUGAAUAUGAACAUCACAUGGAACUGUACUUUCUUCUAUAUUUUAUAGCAUUUCAGAAUCAUUGCAUUUUAAAUUGCAUGUGAGGCAUUAUCUUCAGGAUUCUGUGAAAUGUAAUUCAUCUUGGUUCUUAUUUACAAAUAAUUGUUUGGAGCUCCCAUGGAAAUAGAUUCAUUCUCCAAUCCUUUACAUAGAAUUUGAAAAAUAUUAUCAUCUUCAAUUUUUAAUUCAACAUGUUAUUGUUGUCCACAUGUCUGUUUGUAGUGAAGCUACUCUAAUAGAAGAUGUGCAUUACUGCCAUAGAUGCAACAGUAAAAACAGUAAAGUGGCUUGAAUUUCCAUAGGAUGAUCCAACGCCCCAUUAAACUAUAAAUACUGGUUUUUAAACUAUACAUUCCCAUUCUUGUAAAACACUGGUAGCUCCCAGAAAAUUGUUCCCUGUUAUACUGUGGUCAUGUCUUACAAAAAAAGAUGACAGAGCAAUUUCUAAAAUGGUAAUGUACACAAAUAAUCUUUUCCUGUUUCAAAGGCUAACAUUUUGUUGGCUACCUCAUUAGACAAGCUGAUUUUAGGAAUUUAUGAUGGCAGCUCAGACUUGUAUCGCAUAAUAUUUCCCCUUUUUGCAUCAAAUUACUCAAAGUUAUGAGUUAAUCCUGAAGUAAGCUUUUCCUAAGAAUGUUAUUGUAAUUUGUAUCCAAGGCCUUUGUCUUCCCUGAAAAUUCCAUAAUAAUUGUUAUUGUUUUGGCUCCUUUUUGUAUCAGGUUUUUUUAAGGAACAAAAUCAGUCACUACGUGGAGAUGCAAUGGGAACUCAAUAGCCCUUACAACAUGGAGCUUCAGAAUACUGAAAGGGAGAAAUGAAACUGAAAAUUGAUAAAUUCUGUCUCAGCAUGUCACCUUGUUCUUUGACAAACCAAGGCUUAAUUCAGCCUUAAGAUGGUCUGAUACUGAAACUCCAAAGAAACCCGUCUCCUUUAGAGAAGCAUUGGACUUGCCCUGUCAACAUAACACUCCAUUUAAAUUAGAAAACUCAAAUAAGGAAAACUCAGAAGAAGAAAUUGCUGAGGAAGAAAACCCAGAAGUUGCUAAGAGACCUCUUUGUGGAUGGAGACAGCCGAGGGAAGUAAUGAGGCUGCUUGGAGAGCCAUGACACUUAAUUGUCUGUCCUAGUUGGAGCUUUUGUACUGCUCUAAUGAGGAGCUUUUGAAGGAAUAUUGAAUGAAUUGGUUUCUCUUCUCGGAUGCAAGGAAGGAUAAGAAAACUUAUGGGCUGCCGACUGAUGUGCCAUGUCAACUUCUCUUAUCCAAUCAACAUAUAUGGGCUGGGCCUGAACACACAAACAAGGAUGCCAGAGAAAUAUCAAGGGUGGGAAGGGCCAAGCUGGACCCAAGUCAUGGGCUGCUCUACCUCAGAUCAGUUGGAUCUGUAUGCAGCCUGCUCCAAGUUUGGAUUGUAUUGGAGAAAUGUGGAGCAACUAGUCUUGGCCAGGAAGUCAAAAGCUCCAGUGUUUCAAAUUUCUGGCAUCACACCCAAAGAUUUCGUUUCAUAUUGCAAAGUGGGUUGCAAGCAUGAUGGUGUAGUGCCCUGAUGGCUUUGGCAGACAGUAACGAGAUAAUGCCCAAGAAACUUUGAAAUUCAGAAGUCCAGCACAUGGAGUUACAGUACUGUUUAACACCCUUUUACUGGUCAGUUCUCUACAUUCAUGUAUCUGGAUCAUUUAAUCAAAUGAAAAGUUUAGCAUUUCAGAUA